UAGUCCACGCCGUAAACGAUGGUCACUAGUUGUUGGGGUCUUGUACCUCAGUGAUUAAGAGAAAUUGAUAAGUGACCCACCUGGGGAGUACGAUCGCAAGGUUGAAACUCAAAGGAAUUGACGGGGCCCGCACAAGCGGUGGAGCAUGUGGUUUAAUUCGAUGAUACGCGAGGAACCUUACCUGGGCUUAAAUGUAGCGCGACGAUUUUCGAAAGAAAAUUUCUCUUCGGAGCGAACUACAAGGUGCUGCAUGGUUGUCGUCAGCUCGUGCCGUGAGGUGUCGGGUUAAGUCCCAUAACGAGCGCAACCCCUAUUGCUAGUUGCUAACAGGUAAUGCUGAGGACUCUAGUGAGACUGCCGGUGUAAACCGUGAGGAAGGUGGGGAUGACGUCAAAUCAGCACGGGCCCUUAUGUCCAGGGGCUACACACGUGUUACAAUGGUCGGUACAAAGGGGCAGGCUACCUGGUGACAGGGAUGCUAAUCUCUAAAACCGAUCUCAGUUCGGGAUCGAAGUCUGCAA
Molecule: ribosomal RNA, 521 nt
Filed under: uncultured bacterium
Lineage: Bacteria
Description: bacterial SSU rRNA
Rfam family: Bacterial small subunit ribosomal RNA
Source: RNAcentral